ACUCAAAUGAAUUGACGGGGAUCCGCACAAGCGGUGGAGUAUGUGGUUUAAUUCGAGGCUACGCGAAGAACCUUACCAACCUUUGCAUGGAGGCAGCUGCUCUUUGAAAGAAGAGCGUCAUUUAGUUGGGCCUCACACAGGUGCUGCAUGGCUGUCGUCAGUUCGUGUCGUGAGAUGUUGGGUUAAGUCCCGCAACGAACGCGACCCUCGUGACUAGUUGCCAGCAAGUUAAGUUGGGCACUUUAGUCAUACUGCCGGUGACAAACCGGAGGAAGGUGGGGAUGAUGUCAAGUCAUCAUGGCCCUUAUAGGUUGGGCUACACACGUACUACAAUGGCGGUGACAGAGGGAGGCAAAAUAGCAAUAUGGAGCAAAUCCCUAAAAACCGCCUCAGUUCGGAUUGUCCUCUGCAACUCGAGGGCAUGAAGUCGGAAUCGCUAGUAAUCGCAGAUCAGCAGGCUGCGGUGAAUACGUUCUCGGAUCUUGUACACACCGCCCGU
Molecule: ribosomal RNA, 499 nt
Filed under: uncultured bacterium
Lineage: Bacteria
Description: partial 16S ribosomal RNA
Rfam family: Bacterial small subunit ribosomal RNA
Source: RNAcentral